UGGGGAAUUUUCCGCAAUGGGCGAAAGCCUGACGGAGCAAUACCGCGUGAGGGAGGAAGGCUCUUGGGUUGUAAACCUCUUUUCUCAGGGAAGAAUCCUGACGGUACCCUUCGAGGAAGCCCCGGCUAACUACGUGCCAGCAGCCGCGGUAAUACGUAGGGGGCGAGCGUUGUCCGGAAUUAUUGGGCGUAAAGAGCGUGUAGGCGGCCUGGUAAGUCUGCCGUGAAAACCUGGGGCUCAACCCUGGGCGUGCGGUGGAUACUGCUAGGCUAGAGGAUGGUAGAGGCGAGUGGAAUUCCCGGUGUAGCGGUGAAAUGCGCAGAUAUCGGGAGGAACACCAGUAGCGAAGGCGGCUCGCUGGGCCAUUCCUGACGCUGAGACGCGAAAGCGUGGGGAGCAAACAGGAUUAGAUACCCGCGUAGUCC
Molecule: ribosomal RNA, 425 nt
Filed under: uncultured prokaryote
Description: bacterial SSU rRNA
Rfam family: Bacterial small subunit ribosomal RNA
Source: RNAcentral